This 373-nucleotide ribosomal RNA is filed under the name uncultured organism. RNAcentral describes it as "partial 16S ribosomal RNA". It matches the Rfam family "Bacterial small subunit ribosomal RNA", at positions 528 to 896 of the family's 1533-position model. The record is from RNAcentral.
GGGGGGGCAAGCGUUUGUUCGGAUUUACUGGGCGUAAAGGGCUCGUAGGCGGCCAUCUAAGUCGGUUGUGAAAUCCCUCGGCUCAACCGGGGAACUGCGACCGAUACUGGAUGGCUUGAAGCCGGGAGAGGGAUGCGGAAUUCCAGGUGUAGCGGUGAAAUGCGUAGAUAUCUGGAGGAACACCCGUGGCGAAGGCGGCAUCCUGGACCGGUCUUGACGCUGAGGAGCGAAAGCUAGGGUAGCAAACGGGAUUAGAUACCCCGGGUAGUCCUAGCCCUAAACGAUGAAUGCUUGGUGUGGCGGGUAUCGAUCCCCUGCCGUGCCGUAGCUAACGCGUUAAGCAUUCCGCCUGGGGAGUACGGUCGCAAGGCUG